UUCCGCUCGCAGGUCCCCCAGCCGGAGCCGCUUUCCGGGGCACAGCCCCGCGCUGGUCCUGUGCGGCCGAGACCGCGGGCGGCCGCGUGCCUCAACCCGGAUGCGGCCUCCUAGAAAACCCUGACUCGGGGCCGGUGCAGCGGGCCCUCGUCUUGCCGCUUCCCUCCCGCAGCCUGAUGAGAUAUUUCAGAUUCAGAGAAGUUACUUGCCCCAAACCAAAUUACCAGUAAUUGGAAGAUCAAGAAUGAAAAGGACUCUUUCCAUCACACCACAUGAUGAUCUGUACUCUCCACAAAAGUGAAAAUUGUCCAGUAGCUGGAGCAGAUUUCUUCCCCCAACAAAGAAGAUGGGUGUUCCUGUGGUGAGAGCAGAGUUGGGGAGAAGCCAAGUCUAAUCAUCUCACUACCUAGAAGAGAUGAAGUACUGCCUUGAAAUGUGCCCACUCCACAGCUGUGACAAGAGCUGCCACAGUCUAAUUGCUAGUCUAAUUGCUGUGUCACCAGAUACACAUAUAGAAGAAAGAGAGCCUGAAGGUUGCAUGUAAGGAUUCAAAGUGAAUCCAGGCUGGUACAUGUUUCCUAUGUCUUUUAGCCUGUGCCCUCUAGAGCUGCCAAUGCUAUGGUCAAAACAGCCAUGUGGAUUAAAAAACAGUGACACAAGGAGA
This is a long non-coding RNA of Canis lupus familiaris (dog), 664 nucleotides long. RefSeq lists it as uncharacterized. The transcript is spliced from 2 exons. The record is from RefSeq and is a predicted model, not a curated record. Lineage: Eukaryota; Metazoa; Chordata; Mammalia; Carnivora; Canidae.